RNAcentral lists this ribosomal RNA (815 nucleotides) under uncultured bacterium. RNAcentral's name for it is "bacterial SSU rRNA". It matches the Rfam family "Bacterial small subunit ribosomal RNA", at positions 649 to 1482 of the family's 1533-position model. The record is from RNAcentral.
UCGGAGAUGAGGGCGGAAUUCUCGGUGUAGCGGUGAAAUGCGUAGAUAUCGAGAGGAACGCCGAUGGCGAAAGCAGCCCUCAAGACGAAAUCUGACCUGAAACACGAAGGCCAGGGGAGCAAACGGGAUUAGAUACCCCGGUAGUCCUGGCAGUAAACGGUGCUCAUUAGAUGUAGGCGGAUUCGACCCCGCCUGUGUCGAACCUAACGGAUUAAAUGAGCCGCCUGGGAAGUACGGUCGCAAGAUUAAAACUCAAAGAAAUUGACGGGGGCCCGCACAAGCGGUGGAGUAUGUGGCUUAAUUCGAUGCAACGCGAAGAACCUUACCUGGCCUUGACAUGCUUAGUUCAGGCGUAGAAACACGCUGGCCCGCAAGGGCGAUUUGCACAGGUGCUGCAUGGCUGUCGUCAGCUCGUGUCGUGAGAUGUUGGGUUAAGUCCCGCAACGAGCGCAACCCUCGUGGUUAGUUAUUCCCGGGAAACCGGAAUCUGACCAGACUGCCCUGUGAAACGGGGAGGAAGGUGGGGACGACGUCAAGUCCGUAUGGCCCUUACGGCCAGGGCUGCACACGUACUACAAUGCCCACUACAGAGGGACGCAAGACCGCAAGGUGGAGCCAAUCCCGAAAAGGUGGGCCCAGUUCGGAUUGGAGGCUGCAACUCGCCUCCAUGAAGUUGGAAUCGCUAGUAAUGGCGCAUCAGCUACGGCGCCGUGAAUACGUUCCCGGGCCUUGUACACACCGCCCGUCACAUCAUGAAAGCCGGUUACACCCAAAGUCGCCUUAUGGUGCCCAAGGUGUGGCUGGUGAUUGGGAUG